CCUACGGGUGACAGCAGUGAGGAAUAUUGGUCAAUGGGCGGAAGCCUGAACCAGCCAAGUAGCGUGCGGGAUGAAGGCCCUACGGGUCGUAAACCGCUUUUGCACGGGGAUAACACCCUCCACUUGUGGAGGUCUGCAGGUACCGUGCGAAUAAGGGCCGGCUAAUUCCGUGCCAGCAGCCGCGGUAAUACGGAGGGCCCGAGCGUUAUCCGGAUUUAUUGGGCUUAAAGGGAGCGUAGGCGGGCGCUUAAGUCAGGUGUGAAAGUGGGCGGCUCAACCGUGGCACUGCAGUUGAAACUGGGUGCAUUGAGUGCACAACAGGCAGGCGGAAUUCGUGGUGUAGCGGUGAAAUGCAUAGAUAUCACGAGGAACCCCGAUUGCGAAGGCAGCCUGCCGGGGUGCAACUGACGCUGAGGCUCGAAAGUGCGGGUAUCAAACAGGAUUAGAUACCCCUGUAGUC
RNAcentral lists this ribosomal RNA (460 nucleotides) under uncultured bacterium. RNAcentral describes it as "partial 16S ribosomal RNA". It matches the Rfam family "Bacterial small subunit ribosomal RNA", at positions 338 to 795 of the family's 1533-position model. The record is from RNAcentral.